AGUACGUUCGCAAGAAUGAAACUCAAAGGAAUUGACGGGGGCCCGCACAAGCGGUGGAGCAUGUGGUUUAAUUCGAUGAUACGCGAGGAACCUUACCAAGGCUUAAAUGUAGUUUGACCGAUUUGGAAACAGAUCUUUCGCAAGACAAAUUACAAGGUGCUGCAUGGUUGUCGUCAGCUCGUGCCGUGAGGUGUCAGGUUAAGUCCUAUAACGAGCGCAACCCCUGUUGUUAGUUGCCAGCGAGUCAAGUCGGGAACUCUAACAAGACUGCCAGUGUAAACUGUGAGGAAGGUGGGGAUGACGUCAAAUCAUCACGGCCCUUACGCCUUGGGCUACACACGUGCUACAAUGGCCGGUACAGAGAGCAGCCACUGGGUGACCAGGAGCGAAUCUACAAAACCGGUCACAGUUCGGAUCGGAGUCUGCAACUCGACUGCGUGAAGUCGGAAUCGCUAGUAAUCGUGGAUCAGCACGUCACGGUGAAUACGUUCCCGGGUCUUGUACACACCGCCCGUCACACCAUGGGAGCGGGUCUCGCCAGAAGUAGUUAGCCUAACCGCAAGGAGGGCGAUUACCACGGCGGGGUUCGUGACUGGGGUG
Molecule: ribosomal RNA, 600 nt
Filed under: uncultured bacterium
Lineage: Bacteria
Description: bacterial SSU rRNA
Rfam family: Bacterial small subunit ribosomal RNA
Source: RNAcentral